RNAcentral lists this ribosomal RNA (499 nucleotides) under uncultured bacterium. RNAcentral describes it as "partial 16S ribosomal RNA". It matches the Rfam family "Bacterial small subunit ribosomal RNA", at positions 28 to 507 of the family's 1533-position model. The record is from RNAcentral.
GACGAACGCUGGCGGCGUGCCUAAUACAUGCAAGUCGAGCGGACUUUCAAGAAGCUUGCUUUUUGAAAGUUAGCGGCGGACGGGUGAGUAACACGUGGGCAACCUGCCUGCAAGACGGGGAUAACUCCGGGAAACCGGGGCUAAUACCGGAUAAUAUCUUCCUUCGCAUGAAGGAAGGUUGAAAGGCGGCGCAAGCUGCCGCUUGCAGAUGGGCCUGCGGCGCAUUAGCUAGUUGGUGAGGUAACGGCUCACCAAGGCGACGAUGCGUAGCCGACCUGAGAGGGUGAUCGGCCACACUGGGACUGAGACACGGCCCAGACUCCUACGGGAGGCAGCAGUAGGGAAUCUUCCGCAAUGGACGAAAGUCUGACGGAGCAACGCCGCGUGAGCGAAGAAGGUCUUCGGAUCGUAAAGCUCUGUUGUCAGGGAAGAACAAGUACCGUUCGAACAGGGCGGUACCUUGACGGUACCUGACCAGAAAGCCACGGCUAACUACGUG